Molecule: ribosomal RNA, 402 nt
Filed under: uncultured bacterium
Lineage: Bacteria
Description: bacterial SSU rRNA
Rfam family: Bacterial small subunit ribosomal RNA
Source: RNAcentral
UGGGGAAUAUUGGACAAUGGGCGAAAGCCUGAUCCAGCAAUGCCGCGUGUGUGAAGAAGGUCUUCGGAUUGUAAAGCACUUUCGGCGGGGACGAUGAUGACGGUACCCGCAGAAGAAGCCCCGGCUAACUUCGUGCCAGCAGCCGCGGUAAUACGAAGGGGGCUAGCGUUGCUCGGAAUGACUGGGCGUAAAGGGCGCGUAGGCGGUCACGAUAGUCAGAUGUGAAAUUCCUGGGCUUAACCUGGGGGCUGCAUUUGAUACUGUGUGGCUUGAGUAUGGAAGAGGGUCGUGGAAUUCCCAGUGUAGAGGUGAAAUUCGUAGAUAUUGGGAAGAACACCGGUGGCGAAGGCGGCGACCUGGUCCAUAACUGACGCUGAGGCGCGAAAGCGUGGGGAGCAAACA